CCCUGAUCUCUAGUUAAAGUGGUAGACAGCUAAAAAGACGGUUAGUUUAAGGGGAUGGAUGCUUGAGUUGGGGGUUUCUUAGGGGUGUAAUCCGUAGGUUUCUUUUUACUUUUUGCAAGCUUGUGUAAGAGCGAAUCCGUGUGUCUCAGGCAAUGGACCAGGAUUAGAUACCCUGUUACUCUGAGUGUAAAGAAUAAAUAGAGAAGAUAUUUUGCUGGGCGACUACGUUAUAACUAGUAAAAGUCGAAGUACUUGGCGGUCUAAAAUAAUCAGCCCGUGAGACUUGACGGUUAAACCGAUGAUCCGCGUGAUAUCUUACUUACCUUUGAAAGAUCAGCUGGUGUAAGGUCGUAGUCAGUUUAUGUUGUGAGGGUAUAGGCAAGCAUUCUUUGUCGGAAUUAAUUCAGAUCGUUUUGCUGCCUAUGGGUAAGGCUUAGUUGAGUCACAUUGAUAAGAAUUAAACUAAAAGUCUCUAAGAAAAGAGGGCUGGAGGAAGGAAUGGGUAGUAGUGCGGAAGUAGUGCGUCUUCGCGAAUAGUAAAUUUUUAGGUGUACAAAUCGCCCGUC
RNAcentral lists this ribosomal RNA (566 nucleotides) under Barbatia trapezina. RNAcentral's name for it is "partial small subunit ribosomal RNA". It matches the Rfam family "Bacterial small subunit ribosomal RNA", at positions 583 to 1398 of the family's 1533-position model. The record is from RNAcentral. Lineage: Eukaryota; Metazoa; Mollusca; Bivalvia; Arcoida; Arcidae.